Long non-coding RNA from Solanum tuberosum (potato), 496 nucleotides. RefSeq lists it as uncharacterized. The record is from RefSeq and is a predicted model, not a curated record. The transcript is spliced from 3 exons. NCBI's taxonomy places the organism in Eukaryota, Viridiplantae, Streptophyta, Magnoliopsida, Solanales, Solanaceae.
CUCUACAAAUUUUUUAAUCUGAUCCAAAAUCCAUAUUAGGAUACUUUAAGAAGAUUAGAUCCAAAAGAGAAGAAAUAGACCAUACUACCCCUAAACCUAGUAUAUAAAACCACAAGAAAAAAGAGCAGCCGCACCAGCUAGAGAAAAUGGAAAAAUAUUAGCUAAAAGAAGAAAAAGAGAUCCCCAAGCUCAAUUGGUCUCAGAAUUAGAUAGUUGAUAGUAAAUGUUGUUCUCGGUGUGGAUACGCAUAUAGAAUCUUCAUAUAACGAAGAAAACUUUCCAUUACGAUUAUCGCCAUCAGGAUUGGUGCUUUGUGGAAUCAAGUCAAUUGGGGGUAUUGAUUGAUCUAUAAUCAUUAUUCUCAAUUGUUUUCUAUCUCGUGUCUCUUAUUCUAUCCUUUUAUCUUUUGUUUAUCUUUGUUUCUUAUUCUUUGUGUUAGAAUUUUGAUUUUUGCAUCUCGAUAUUGUAUCAAUUGAAAUUAAGGGUGUGUUUGAUA